This 375-nucleotide unclassified non-coding RNA is filed under the name uncultured bacterium. Its description in RNAcentral is "contains 16S-23S intergenic spacer region". The record is from RNAcentral.
UCCGGUUUGUCACCGGCAGUCUUCCAUGAGUCCCCAACCUAAUGCUGGCAACUAAGGACAGGGGUUGCGCUCGUUGCGCCACUUAAGGCAACAUCUCACGACACGAGCUGACGACAGCCAUGCACCACCUGCACACCAACCACAAGGGAACACCCAUCUCUGAGUGCGUCUGGCGCAUGUCAAACCCAGGUAAGGUUCUUCGCGUUGCAUCGAAUUAAUCCACAUGCUCCGCCGCUUGUGCGGGCCCCCGUCAAUUCCUUUGAGUUUCAGUCUUGCGACCGUACUCCCCAGGCGGCGAACUUAACGCGUUAGCUUCGACACUGAGAGCCUAGUUGCUCCCAACGUCCAGUUCGCAUCGUUUAGGGCGUGGACUAC